ACCAUUGUCCAGCCAACUGAUCAGCUUGAAUGGAUGAACUUGAACUCCCACCACUGCUGUCAUAGUUGAAGUAAGAACCAUUCCACAAUUUCUCAUAGGCACGUUUUGCCUUCUGAAAUUUGAACCAAAAAUAGUGUUCAGCAUCCCUUUCAUCAGCUACACGAGCCAGGGCCGAAGCAGCCUGCAAGGCUGCCACCCAUAAACCACCACUAUAUGCACUAACACCAGUGACGGACCACGUAUCAUAAGUCUGAUCAGGGAAGCCAUCAUUCUCAAUCAUCCCA
Molecule: unclassified non-coding RNA, 284 nt
Filed under: Hevea brasiliensis (rubber tree)
Lineage: Eukaryota; Viridiplantae; Streptophyta; Magnoliopsida; Malpighiales; Euphorbiaceae
Source: RNAcentral